GGUUCGAUUCUGGCUCGGAAUUGAACGCUGGCGGGAUGCUUUACACAUGCAAGUCGAACGGCAGCACGGACUUCGGUCUGGUGGCGAGUAACCCGAACGGGUAGGUAAUGUAUCGGAACGUGCCUAGUAGCGGGGGAUAACUACGCGAAAGCGUAGCUAAUACCGCAUACGCCCUUCGGGGAAAGCGGGGGACCCUUCGGGCCUCGCACUAUUAAACAGCCGAUAUCGGAUUAGCUAGUUGGUGGGGUAACGGCUCACCGGGCGACGAUCCGUAGCUGGUUUAAGGGGAAGAGGACGACCAGCCACACUGGGACUGAGACACAGCUGGCCCAGACUCCUACAGGAGGCAGCAGUGAAAUUUUGGACAAUGGGGAAACCUGAUCCAGCCAUCCCGCGUGUGCGAUGAAGGCCUUCGGGUUGUAAAGCACUUUUGGCAGGAAAGAAACGGCGCGGGAUAAUACCCCGUGCAACUGACGGCUACCUGCAGAACCGGCACCGGCCCAAGCGCAUUGCCUGGCAGCCGCCGACAAUACACGUAGUGACGUUAAUCAGAUACUGGGCGUACAAAGCGAUGCGCAGGCGGUUCGGAAAGAUGUGAAAUCCCAGAGCUUAACUUUGGAACUGCAUUUUUAACUACCGAGCUAGAGUGUGUCAGAGGUGGAAUUCCGCGAUAUCGCUUGGUGUGCCGUAGAUAUGGAGAACACCGAUGGCGAAGGCGACCUCUGGGAUAACACUGACGCUCAUGCACGAAAAGCGUGGGAGCAAACAGGAUUGAAUACCCUGGUAGUCCACGCCCUAAACGAUGCUCAACUAGCUGUUGGGGCCUUCGGGCCUUGGUAGCGCAGCUAACGCGUGGACUUGACCGCCUGGGGGAGUACGGUCGCAAGACAAACUCAAAGGAAUUGACGGGGACCCGCACAAGCGGUGGAUGAUGUGGAUUAAUUCGAUGCAACGCGAAAACCUUACCUACCCUUGACAUGUCUGGAAUCCGAAGAGAUUUGGUGCUCGCGAAGAACCGGAACACAGGUGCUGCAUGGCUGUCGUCAGCUCGUGUCGUGAGAUGUUGGGUUAAGUCCGCAACGAAGCUGACCCUUGUCAUCGGGUGCUACGAAGGAGCACUCUAAUGAGACUGCCGUGCUGGAAACCGGAGGAAGGUGAGGAUGACGUCAAAGUCCUCAUCAGCCCUUAUGGUGAAGACUACACACGUCAUACAAUGGCCGGGACAGAGGGUCGCCAACCCGCGAGGAGCCAAUCCCAGAAACCCGAUCGUAGUCCGGAUCGCAGUCUGCAACUCGACUGCGUGAAGUCAGAAUCGCUAGUAAUCGCGGAUCAGCAUGUCGCGGUAGAAUACGUUCCCGGGUCUUGUACCACCGCCCGUGCACCGUAAGGAGUGGGUUUUACCAGAAGUGAUAGUUAGCUUCUAACCGUAAGGGCGAUUACCACGGUAGGAUCCAUGACUGGGGUGAAGUCGUAACAAGGUAG
RNAcentral lists this ribosomal RNA (1482 nucleotides) under uncultured Bordetella sp. Its description in RNAcentral is "partial 16S-23S ribosomal RNA intergenic spacer". It matches the Rfam family "Bacterial small subunit ribosomal RNA". The record is from RNAcentral. Lineage: Bacteria; Pseudomonadati; Pseudomonadota; Betaproteobacteria; Burkholderiales; Alcaligenaceae.